Molecule: long non-coding RNA, 498 nt
Organism: Crotalus tigris (Tiger rattlesnake)
Lineage: Eukaryota; Metazoa; Chordata; Lepidosauria; Squamata; Viperidae
Exons: 2
Source: RefSeq, a predicted model, not a curated record
CCUCCUCCUCCUCCUCCUCCUCCUGUUUUUUGUUCUUCCUCCAUUCCAUAAACUGCACUAAUGCUGUUACUUUUGUGGAAGAUGAAAAUACAGCCCCCUCCCUAUCUAAUAAGAUAGGGCUAGAACAACGCUGAAAUAGCCCCCAACCCACAGAAGUGAUUUGAAGCUUUAACUUGAACUUGAUGCUGUUUCUCAAUAAGGACAUCCUAUUUGUAACCUGCUGAGCUUUGUGCAAUAUGAAAUUGCCAAGCAGGUAGUCCUGUGUAUAUCUGAAACGUGAGUGUUGUAAUCGUGGGAAAAGAGGAACUGAAAGUAGCUGACGGAUGGAAAUUUCAGAUGGGAACUGUCUUGCAAACAAAAACCUCAGAACCUGCAUAUCAUCCCUUUGGAAUCUGCUCUGCCACAUGCUCCUCAUUGCAACGGGUUGUCAGUGUAAGCGAUGUGAUGUUAUUCUGCUACGUUCCAAAUUGUGAGAAAAAUAAACCUCUGAAUCUCCAA